This 543-nucleotide ribosomal RNA is filed under the name uncultured bacterium. Its description in RNAcentral is "bacterial SSU rRNA". It matches the Rfam family "Bacterial small subunit ribosomal RNA", at positions 778 to 1321 of the family's 1533-position model. The record is from RNAcentral.
AUAGAUACCCAGGUAGUCCACGCCGUAAACGAUGAGUGCUAAGUGUUAGGGGGUUUCCGCCCCUUAGUGCUGCAGCUAACGCAUUAAGCACUCCGCCUGGGGAGUACGGUCGCAAGACUGAAACUCAAAGGAAUUGACGGGGGCCCGCACAAGCGGUGGAGCAUGUGGUUUAAUUCGAAGCAACGCGAAGAACCUUACCAGGUCUUGACAUCCCAUUGGCCACUAUGGAGACAUAGUUUUCCCUUCGGGGACAACGGUGACAGGUGGUGCAUGGUUGUCGUCAGCUCGUGUCGUGAGAUGUUGGGUUAAGUCCCGCAACGAGCGCAACCCUUGUUCUUGGUUGCCAUCAUUUAGUUGGGCACUCUAAGGAGACUGCCGGUGACAAACCGGAGGAAGGUGGGGAUGACGUCAAAUCAUCAUGCCCCUUAUGACCUGGGCUACACACGUGCUACAAUGGACGGUACAAACGGUUGCCAACCCGCGAGGGGGAGCUAAUCCGAUAAAACCGUUCUCAGUUCGGAUUGUAGGCUGCAACUGCUACGA